CUCCGGCUGUCAUGUUUCACUUCCGGAGCUUGCGAACAAAAUAGAAUCGCUAAGGCAAAGAAAACCCUGCGAGUGGCGAGUGUUUUAAGAUCACACUCACAAACAACAUCCAAAGUGGUUAGUGGCAGUUGAGAGAGUGCCCCAAGACCCCGAAAACCAGCCGGGCAGACACGAACAACACCAGCAGCAGCACCAACAACAACAUCAUCAGCAGCAGCAUCAGGCUCGCUAGCAUUUCCCGCUUUUCGUUCUCGUCGCUGAAUAACAAAUCACAAAACCACGACAAACGAUGGCCGAUGCCGCCGAGAGUAAGCCACUGGCCGCCGAACAGCAGCUGCAGCAGCAGCCGCCGCAGCAGGAGCAGCAGAAUCCGCCGAAUCCGCAGGAGCAGGAUCACGAGCAGGAGCCGCUGGACGAGCUGCAGGGACAGCAGGGCCAGCCUGCUCCGCCCACCAAGGAAGUCAUCGCCACCAAAGUCACCGGCACCGUCAAGUGGUUCAACGUGAAGAGCGGCUACGGCUUCAUCAACCGCAACGACACCAGAGAGGACGUCUUCGUGCACCAGAGCGCCAUUGCGCGGAACAACCCCAAGAAGGCGGUCCGCUCGGUGGGCGAUGGUGAGGUCGUUGAGUUCGACGUGGUCAUUGGCGAGAAGGGAAAUGAGGCGGCCAACGUGACCGGUCCCUCCGGUGAGCCGGUGCGGGGCAGUCAGUUUGCGGCAGACAAGCGCCGUAACUUCCGUCCCUGGAUGAAGAAGAAUCGCCGUAAGGAUGGCGAAGUGGAAGGCGAAGACGUUGAAUCGCCGGCCCAGCAGCAGCAACAGCAGCAGGCGGCUCCGUCCGUUGAUGGACAGCCACAGCAGGUGCAAUCUGGACCGCGUCAGCCACGACAGAACUUCCGCCGAGGACCACCCGGUGGACCGCCCGGAGGACCUCGAGGUGGCCCCCGAGUCCCACCAGGCGGAGCUCCCGGUGGCCCCCGGCGCUACAACAACUACUAUCCGCGUCAGCCGCGACGCGGUCUGGGCGGCGGUGACGGCAGUGCCGAGCCCGGCGUCCACGAUCAGAAUCCGGAGGGUGUGCAGCGAGGCGAGGGUCAGGGACCGCGUCGCGGUGGCGGCCCACCAGGCGGACCCCAGAGGCGCUUCUUCCGACGCACCUUCAACAAUGGUCCACCGCCACCACGCCGCGAUGGCGGAGAAUACAUUCAAGGCCAGGGACCGCCACGCCCUCAACAGCCACGUCCACGUCGCCAGAGGAAACCAAAUGGCCCUGGCGGUGGUUCAGAGCAGCAGCCACAGCAGGUAAUGAACUAAUCACCACCACGACAGAAACAACUGAAACAUCUUCGCCAAAGCAAAACUACGAUAACAACAUCUAACUAGUAAACAUCAGCAACAGUCAGCGGCAUACCAUAACAACAAGAUGCAUUCAUACAUUAACCACUAACAAGCAGAACAGCCACUCGCACCGACACAAAAAUCAGAGAAACAGCGAUAAAGAGGAGAAACCCUAACAUUUAACACUUAACUUAGAGGCUUUGGGUCUAACAUUCUUAUAUUAUUAGUUACCUUACCUGUGACUAAUUGGCUAACAAACACACAUUUAAUUUAAACCCGAAACCCGCAUUUUACUUUCAACCAUUGUAAAAUUUUAUGUUAUACUUAUGUUUAUGAUUUCUACCCCGCGCUAUGUUCCCACACAAAUCCCUAGAACGGCGCUCAAGAGCUGCAAAAUACAACCACAGAGAGCACUGCAUAGAAAGGAUCGUCGAACCUUCAAAAAACCGUCAACAUCAUCAGCAGUAGCAGCAGCAUAAAACUACCAUCGCAGAAGCAGCAGCCUAUCGUCAACAUCAGCGAUCACUGCAAAAAGAUCAGCAAGUUUGCUAAAUGAGCUGCCGCGUUUUUUCGGUUUGUUUGCUUUUUGUUUUGUUUCGUAGGGCAGCAGAAUGAAUUGUACAACUCAUACAACCAACUAACAUCGCAAAAAUUUCUAUCAAAUUCAAAUUCAAAAAAAAAAAUCAAAUUUCCAUCAAGCCUGGCCGACAAAAAAUUGCAUAAUUGUGGAAUUUUAUUGUAAUAACCACCAUAACAAAGAAACAUUUCAAUUACACUGCAAUUUAGAUAGCGCCGGUAUACAAAUUACCUUAAUGAUUAUUACAAUUUUUAUUUAUUCUUGAAAGCAUUGUUACCGUUGUGCGUUAAGCAAACCCAUAACUCUAAGUUUCUCGUUUUAAAGAUCAUUAAAAACCUAUACAACCA
This is an RNA transcript of Drosophila yakuba, 2263 nucleotides long. It is a transcript of the gene named Y-box-binding protein 1, with no coding region annotated. NCBI's taxonomy places the organism in Eukaryota, Metazoa, Arthropoda, Insecta, Diptera, Drosophilidae. The record is from RefSeq and is a predicted model, not a curated record. The transcript has 4 exons.